Molecule: non-coding RNA, 79 nt
Organism: Xylaria acuta
Lineage: Eukaryota; Fungi; Ascomycota; Sordariomycetes; Xylariales; Xylariaceae
Source: the annotation of a GenBank genome assembly
GGCUGCUGGCUGAGUUGGUACGGAUAGCGAUGCAUUCAUACCCUAGCGUUUAUAGGGGGUUCGAUUCCCCCGUUGGCCA